GGGGAGGAGAGAGAGAAAGAUGACACACGAGCCAGCUUCAUUCUGCUGACUGCUCAACUUUAGGUGUUGCUGGGUGUGAGAUGACUCACGGGACGAGGCAAAGCGCCGGGCACACACGGCUCUCAGUGACAUCGCCGCUCCUCCGAGAGGAGUGUGCUCAGAUUGGAACAAGGAUCAAGUCACCCAUCACAGCGAAGCAUGCAGGGAAAGGCCAAGAGGUAGAAAAUCUGUCUGCCUAUACCUUGGUUGAAAUCUUGGAUGUAUUGGCAUGUCUCCUCUCAUCACCCCACCACUUGUGAGCAGGAUCGAGGAGAGUUUAGGUGGGAGAGCGUGUGUUGAGGCGUAAAGGACCCUCUCAGCCCUAAGCCAAGUCCUGUCCAUCCAACGGAGAGCCCAGACGGUGUGAUUCAGCCCUCCUGAAGCCCGGCCAACUCAUACUCACACAAACACACGCAGUUACACACACACAAGGCACUCGGUGAGAAAGUCACAGACAUCCUUUUUCCUCUCUUAAGUCACCACAGUGAGGCUGCACUGGAGGAGAGGCACAAAGAAGAGGUGUGGAGGGGUAGCUCUGCAGAUCUCAAUCCUCAAGGCAAGGUCACUUUUGCCUGGCUAAAAGCACGCAUAAGUGAUAGAAGCACUGAGGAGGAUACAGGUAAAAGAAAAGAUUCUGGUCUUUUUAAAACUUGGGCCCUGUUUUCCCAUCUUUUGGGGUUUAAAUUUUUAAUAGGGACAAAGAUGUUUGGAGUCAGCUCACUACAGAGCAAUAACCAGCAGUGUUGAAGCAACUGCAAAAUAAUCCUACAGGGCUAUUGCCCAACAUCACAAUGUUUAUAUUUGAUACUUUACCGUAAAUGUCUGUAAUCUUCAAGUUAUCCUGCCACGGUUUUGAUUGAUUGGAUUGAUUUUAUUUAGUUCCAAUACAUAUUAAGACAGUGAUAGUGUGCAGGUAAUAAGUACCUGAAUAAGGAGCAGUAAAAAGUAAUCAUAAAAAUCAACCAAUUUCCAUAAUGUACCUUUUUUGGAAGCAUUUUGCAUUGCAGUGAUGCCAUGUCAACAAAAUAGCUUGAGCAAUAACAUUAACUCCAGUACAUUUGCAUUUUUCUUGUAGAAAAUGUGCUUUGCUGUUCUCUGUGAUUGACCCCAGUAAUCUCAGAUAAAAUGGUCACACAAAACCAGAUGGUUUCCAAGGUGCAGUGCUCGAACAGGAGUGUUUUUGUUAAUUUGUAGCACAGCUGGUCACAUCUUAGGCAUGUCCCCAUUGCCCAAAGUUACUCUGCAAAAGCUUUGUGAAGGGUAGUGUGUCAUUGUGUUGCCACAACUCAGAAAUCUGCACCCAUAAACCAUUUGUUUGCCUUUGUUGUUUUUUUCAAUAACAAUAUCUACAUUUUCUGUAACUAUGUAACUAGAGACUUUUGCAAGGUACUGGUCUGUCCCUGUUGGGAUCUUUUGUUAACGUUUUGCUCAACUGGGAACCUGGGAAAACAAGCACUUUUCUUGAAUGACAAUUGCCCUGUGGGAUUACAUUGGAGCCGCUUCACCGUAGCCAGUUGUAGGUAUCUUUCUCAGUAUUGGACUUCUUCCAAACAUUUUUUGUCCUUAUUAACAAUCUAGACCCCAUAAAGUUUGAAAAAU
This is a long non-coding RNA of Haplochromis burtoni (Burton's mouthbrooder), 1638 nucleotides long. RefSeq lists it as uncharacterized. The record is from RefSeq and is a predicted model, not a curated record. The transcript has 4 exons. NCBI's taxonomy places the organism in Eukaryota, Metazoa, Chordata, Actinopteri, Cichliformes, Cichlidae.